Molecule: ribosomal RNA, 1422 nt
Filed under: uncultured organism
Description: SSU rRNA
Rfam family: Bacterial small subunit ribosomal RNA
Source: RNAcentral
ACAUGCAAGUCGAGGGGCAGCAUGGUCUUUUCUUGCUAAGGCCGAUGGCGACCGGCGCACGGGUGAGUAACACGUAUCCAACCUGCCGUCUACUCUUGGACAGCCUUCUGAAAGGAAGAUUAAUACAAGAUGGCAUCAUGAGUCCGCAUGUUCACAUGAUUAAAGGUAUUCCGGUAGACGAUGGGGAUGCGUUCCAUUAGAUAGUAGGCGGGGUAACGGCCCACCUAGUCUUCGAUGGAUAGGGGUUCUGAGAGGAAGGUCCCCCACAUUGGAACUGAGACACGGUCCAAACUCCUACGGGAGGCAGCAGUGAGGAAUAUUGGUCAAUGGGCGAGAGCCUGAACCAGCCAAGUAGCGUGAAGGAUGACUGCCCUAUGGGUUGUAAACUUCUUUUAUAAAGGAAUAAAGUCGGGUAUGGAUACCCGUUUGCAUGUACUUUAUGAAUAAGGAUCGGCUAACUCCGUGCCAGCAGCCGCGGUAAUACGGAGGAUCCGAGCGUUAUCCGGAUUUAUUGGGUUUAAAGGGAGCGUAGAUGGAUGUUUAAGUCAGUUGUGAAAGUUUGCGGCUCAACCGUAAAAUUGCAGUUGAUACUGGAUAUCCUGAGUGUAGUUGAGGCAGGCGGAAUUCGUGGUGUAGCGGUGAAAUGCUUAGAUAUCACGAAGAACUCCGAUUGCGAAGGCAGCCUGCUAAGCUGCAACUGACAUUGAGGCUCGAAAGUGUGGGUAUCAAACAGGAUUAGAUACCCUGGUAGUCCACACGGUAAACGAUGAAUACUCGCUGUUUGCGAUAUACUGCAAGCGGCCAAGCGAAAGCGUUAAGUAUUCCACCUGGGGAGUACGCCGGCAACGGUGAAACUCAAAGGAAUUGACGGGGGCCCGCACAAGCGGAGGAACAUGUGGUUUAAUUCGAUGAUACGCGAGGAACCUUACCCGGGCUUAAAUUGCAGAUGAAUUACGGUGAAAGCCGUAAGCCGCAAGGCAUCUGUGAAGGUGCUGCAUGGUUGUCGUCAGCUCGUGCCGUGAGGUGUCGGCUUAAGUGCCAUAACGAGCGCAACCCUUGUUGUCAGUUACUAACAGGUUCCGCUGAGGACUCUGACAAGACUGCCAUCGUAAGAUGUGAGGAAGGUGGGGAUGACGUCAAAUCAGCACGGCCCUUACGUCCGGGGCUACACACGUGUUACAAUGGGGGGUACAGAGGGCCGCUACCACGCGAGUGGAUGCCAAUCCCCAAAACCUCUCUCAGUUCGGACUGGAGUCUGCAACCCGACUCCACGAAGCUGGAUUCGCUAGUAAUCGCGCAUCAGCCACGGCGCGGUGAAUACGUUCCCGGGCCUUGUACACACCGCCCGUCAAGCCAUGGGAGCCGGGGGUACCUGAAGUGCGUAACCGCGAGGAGCGCCCUAGGGUAAAACUGGUGACUGGC